Colossoma macropomum (tambaqui) is the source of this 1018-nucleotide RNA transcript. It is a transcript of the gene named regakine-1-like, with no coding region annotated. NCBI's taxonomy places the organism in Eukaryota, Metazoa, Chordata, Actinopteri, Characiformes, Serrasalmidae. The record is from RefSeq and is a predicted model, not a curated record. The transcript is spliced from 6 exons.
AUCAAAUCUCAGCUUCACCCUUUUUUCCACAGCGUUCUGUGUUUUAUUUUUCGGUUUUUGCUCCGUGAAUCGAUUCUGCUCGUUGUUUGUAACCUUUAUAACCCCGGAGAAAAAAGCUGCGGUGCAGGACGAAUCGAAAACGUCCCUCGAGCGAGUUACGGUGAAAAAACACGAGGAGUCGACUCCAAGCAUUUCGACUCUUAGAGUCCCUGGCAAAGAGGCGAUCCCGACUUCCAGGCGUGGGGGAAUCAAAGAAUCGAUUCUCUUGGAAUCGACUCUCCAUCACUACCCUUCAGUGUGAUAAACAGGUCUUUACUGCCGACUAACGCGUUUACAGAUAUGGUGAGAAACCGUUCCUGUGGGUAAAUUUAGGCGGUUCUCUUGUGAACCGCGGACCUAACGGCUGUUUGUGACUCCCUACAGGAAGUUAAAGUGGAGAGGGACAAAGACUGAGCUGAACUGAUUCACACACUGCUCCGUCUCUCUGGGUGAAAUCUCUUCUGCUAGAAUGAGGACUCUGUCUGCUCUGCUGAUGGUGCUGCUGCUCUGCUCUCUCCAGCAGGUCUACUGUAGAAUUGAAGGCAUUGACAUUGAAGAUUGCUGUACUAAGCUGACUAAGUUGCGGAAGAUUCCCUUGGCGCGCAUUGAAUCCCACAGGUGGACCAACAGCGACUGCCCCAUAGAGAGCUGUUGUCUUUGAGAUGGAUACUGGAAAGAGCUUCUGUGUGGAUCAUUCCCUGGAUUGGGUCAAAAGUCACAUGAAAGCACUGGACCAGAAAAAAGCAUCUACAGCAUCAAAACUCUAAACAUCCUCCAAACCCUGAAGCUGAUCAUGUGAAGACUGUUGAAUUUUAUAUACAGUACAUUUAUGCAGUGUUUGUACAGUAAAACAGUAAAAUUUUAUGCAUGCAUUUUACUUAUCUACAUAACACUGUGGAACGAGAUGAUCUGUCUAAUAUAUUUACAAAAAUGUAUCAUUUGUAUUUCUAUUUCUUCAAUAAAGGUGAUUUUACUCCAG